This is a long non-coding RNA of Acinonyx jubatus (cheetah), 1215 nucleotides long. RefSeq lists it as uncharacterized. The transcript is spliced from 3 exons. NCBI's taxonomy places the organism in Eukaryota, Metazoa, Chordata, Mammalia, Carnivora, Felidae. The record is from RefSeq and is a predicted model, not a curated record.
AGCAGGGGCUCGGAAACUGCGCCCCGGAGCGGAGAGAGUUAGCUAACUCCUUGCGGGGCCUGGGGCACCCACGUCCACCGCGGAGCCACCUGUGAGCCUGCGGUGCUGCAGCGGGAUGCGCGCAACCGGAUCCGGGGACAACGACCACUGCGGCCACCGGACCUGGACACUGGCGGGGACUAGGUCGCCCGCACUUACCGGGAACCGCCAGGAGAACGCGAACGCGGCGGGGGGAGGGGGGUGGGGGGGGCCGAGCGCGACCCUCCGCUCCGGUCCGCUGCCUUCUCUGGCCCUCCGCCUCCCUGGUCCGAGGCCCGGUCUCUGGCUCCGGCUCGCGCUCGCCUCCGCUCUUGCCGGCCAGGGCUGGGCUCGGGAGGAGACUGAGCCUCAGCGAGCGCCGCGCGCCGCCUCUGGUGCUGCCCGGCCCCCGCCGGCCCCUCCCUCUCGUCUCUGCGCGGGGAGCGUGGCCGCAGCGCGCUCAGCUCCCGCGCCCUCCGCCCCACGCCUCCCGGGCGCAGAGGCUACGCCGGCAGCCGUAUCUUAGGAGAUUUCUCCGCAGUGGGGACGGGGGUCAGGAUUUGCAGGCGAGCAAGGACAGAGAGGAGAAAUCGCACAGACUGUCAGCACAGAGCCUGACACAGGGCUUGAACCCACAAACCACGAGAUCAUGACCUGAGCCGAAGUCAGACACUUAACCAACUGAGCCAACCAGGCGCCCCAUGAGGAAGCAUGAAUUUUUGGUGGCAUCUACCUUUCUCUGCCCCACUACAGUGUACCAGUGGAAUCAAGCAUAAUGGCAAGCCCAUAGUAGGCACUCAAGCUCACAUUCACAGUCCUAGAAUGCCAGAACUUGGAAGACUCCAUGUUAAGCCUUCUUUGUAAUUACUGCUGAGGAGACUGAGACCCAAGGAGCCAAGUCAUGUUUGGGGUCCGAGACUGGGAGAACCAUGACCUCGGUGAAACCAUUUUGCAAAGCCACUGGUGAGCCUCUCCAUGUGAGAAGAAUGAACUCUUAGCUACCCUUCUGUUUGUAUUUCUUUGUUUGAAUUUGCCAUCAUACGAACAAUUAGUUAUCAGUCAAAAUAUGCUAUGUCUAACAUCUUUCUUUCCAUUUCUAAAUGUAAAAAAUUAAACUUCUCCUUUCUGAAAGCCUAAAAAUCUGUAACCGGUGAAAACUUAACACUUUUUUUCUGAAGUACAUUAAAAGAAGCAUAG